This 305-nucleotide ribosomal RNA is filed under the name uncultured bacterium. RNAcentral describes it as "bacterial SSU rRNA". It matches the Rfam family "Bacterial small subunit ribosomal RNA", at positions 335 to 657 of the family's 1533-position model. The record is from RNAcentral.
GUCCCUACGGGGGGCAGCAGUGGGGAAUAUUGCACAAUGGGGGAAACCCUGAUGCAGCGACGCCGCGUGAAAGAUGAAGUAUUUCGGUAUGUAAACUUCUAUCAGCAGGGAAGAAAAUGACGGUACCUGACUAAGAAGCCCCGGCUAACUACGUGCCAGCAGCCGCGGUAAUACGUAGGGGGCAAGCGUUAUCCGGAUUUACUGGGUGUAAAGGGAGCGUAGACGGUAUGGCAAGUCUGAUGUGAAAACCCGGGGCUCAACCUCGGGACUGCAUUGGAAACGGUCGGCCUAGAGUGUCGGAGAGG